AGUUAAUUGGCUUAAAGCAUUAUAUCUUGAAAAUAUAAAAAAGAAUUAAUUAUUCUAUUAACUU
This 64-nucleotide transfer RNA is filed under the name Symplanella unipuncta. RNAcentral describes it as "tRNA-Ser". Lineage: Eukaryota; Metazoa; Arthropoda; Insecta; Hemiptera; Caliscelidae. The record is from RNAcentral.